UACGUAGGGUGCAAGCGUUAAUCGGAAUUACUGGGCGUAAAGCGUGCGCAGGCGGUUAUGUAAGACAGAUGUGAAAUCCCCGGGCUCAACCUGGGAACUGCAUUUGUGACUGCAUAGCUGGAGUACGGCAGAGGGGGAUGGAAUUCCGCGUGUAGCAGUGAAAUGCGUAGAUAUGCGGAGGAACACCGAUGGCGAAGGCAGUCCCCUGGGCCUGUACUGACGCUCAUGCACGAAAGCGUGGGGAGCAAACAGG
This 253-nucleotide ribosomal RNA is filed under the name uncultured bacterium. Its description in RNAcentral is "partial 16S ribosomal RNA". It matches the Rfam family "Bacterial small subunit ribosomal RNA", at positions 524 to 776 of the family's 1533-position model. The record is from RNAcentral.